AAGGAUUACAUAUUUCAUUCCUUGUCAGCUAUAACAACAAAAACAUCCUUAACUGACCAUUUUCUUCUCUCUGUUUUUGCUGGGGGAUUGAUGACUGCUUUGUCUGCAUUAGCAAGACGGUAACCAAUCACAAUCUGUCUCCUUUGCCGUGCACGCAGAAGCACUUCAUAAAAACUCAACUCCACAAUGUCACAAAGGUAUAGGGAUGCUCCUCUUAUUUGCAUCUCAUUUCCCUCUUCAGCAAACAGCUCUUCCAAUACAUCAUUUAUUUGACGAUCCUCUGCCACCAUGGCCAAUGCCAUGCUAACUAGCUCAUUUGACAAAACAUAGUCACUUAUCUUUGACAUA
This 348-nucleotide unclassified non-coding RNA is filed under the name Hevea brasiliensis (rubber tree). The record is from RNAcentral. Lineage: Eukaryota; Viridiplantae; Streptophyta; Magnoliopsida; Malpighiales; Euphorbiaceae.